RNAcentral lists this ribosomal RNA (259 nucleotides) under uncultured bacterium. Its description in RNAcentral is "partial 16S ribosomal RNA". It matches the Rfam family "Bacterial small subunit ribosomal RNA", at positions 524 to 776 of the family's 1533-position model. The record is from RNAcentral.
UACGUAGGGUGCGAGCGUUGUCCGGAAUUAUUGGGCGUAAAAGAGCUCGUAGGCGGUGUGUCACGUCGGCCGUGAAAAACCUGCAGCUUAACUGUGGGCGUGCGGUCGAUACGGGCAUCACUGGAGUUCGGCAGGGGAGACUGGAAUUCCUGGUGUAGCGGUGAAAUGCGCAGAUAUCAGGAGGAACACCGGUGGCGAAGGCGGGGUCUCUGGGCCGAUACUGACGCUGAGGAGCGAAAGCGUGGGGGAGCAAAACAGG